AGGGUUUGAUCCUGGCUCAGAUUGAACGCUGGCGGCAUGCCUAACACAUGCAAGUCGAACGGCAGCAUGACCUAGCUUGCUAGGUUGAUGGCGAGUGGCGAACGGGUGAGUAACGCGUAGGGAUCUGCCCUAAAGUGGGGAACAACUCGAGGAAACUCGAGCUAAUACCGCAUAAGCUCUUAGGAGUAAAGCUGGGGACCUUCGGGCCUGGCGCUUUAGGAUGAACCUGCGUCCGAUUAGCUAGUUGGUAAGGUAAAGGCUUACCAAGGCGACGAUCGGUAGCUGUUCUGAGAGGAAGAUCAGCCACACUGGGACUGAGAUACGGCCCAGACUCCUACGGGAGGCAGCAGUGGGGAAUAUUGGACAAUGGGGGAAACCCUGAUCCAGCAAUGCCGCGUGUGUGAAGAAGGCCUGCGGGUUGUAAAGCACUUUCAGUGGGGAGGAGAGGUUUAGUGUUAAUAGCACUAAACUGAGACGUUACCCACAAAAGCAGCACCGGCUAACUCUGUGCCAGCAGCCGCGGUAAUACAGAGGGUGCGAGCGUUAAUCGGAAUUACUGGGCGUAAAGAGCACGUAGGUGGUUUAUCAAGUUGGCUGUGAAAUACCUGGGCUUAACCUGGGUCUGUCAGUCAAUACUGGUAAACUAGAGGCCAAGAGAGGGUAGUGGAAUUUCCGGUGUAGCGGUGAAAUGCAUAGAUAUCGGAAGGAACACCAGUGGCGAAGGCGGCUACCUGGCAUAACACUGACGCUGAGGUACGAAAGCGUGGGGAACCAAACAGGAUUAGAUACCCUGGUAGUCCACGCUGUAAACGAUGACAACUAGCUGUUGGAUCCUUAGAGGUUUUAGUGGCGCAGCUAACGCAAUAAGUAGACCGCCUGGGGAGUACGACCGCAAGGUUAAAACUCAAAGGAAUUGACGGGGGCCCGCACAAGCGGUGGAGCAUGUGGUUUAAUUCGACGCAACGCGAAGAACCUUACCUACCCUUGACAUCCUCGGAAUCCGCUAGAGAUAGUGGAGUGCCUUCGGGAACCGAGUGACAGGUGCUGCAUGGCUGUCGUCAGCUCGUGUCGUGAGAUGUUGGGUUAAGUCCCGUAACGAGCGCAACCCUUGUCCCUAGUUGCCUCAGGUAAAGCUGGGAACUCUAAUGAGACUGCCGGUGACAAGCCGGAGGAAGGUGGGGAUGACGUCAAGUCCUCAUGGCCCUUAUGGGUAGGGCUACACACGUGCUACAAUGGGCAGUACAAAGAGAAGCGAAGCCGCGAGGUGGAGCUAAUCCCAGAAAGCCGGUCGUAGUCCGGAUUGGAGUCUGCAACUCGACCCCAUGAAGUCGGAAUCGCUAGUAAUCGCGAAUCAGCAUGUCGCGGUGAAUACGUUCCCGGGCCUUGUACACACCGCCCGUCACACCAUGGGAGUGGAUUGCACCAGAAGUAGGUUGCCUAACCUUCGGGAGGGCGCUUACCACGGUGUGCUUCAUGACUGGGGUGAAGUCGGAACAAGGUAGCCG
Molecule: ribosomal RNA, 1505 nt
Filed under: uncultured prokaryote
Description: partial 16S ribosomal RNA
Rfam family: Bacterial small subunit ribosomal RNA
Source: RNAcentral